UACGUAGGGUCCGAGCGUUGUCCGGAGUUAUUGGGCGUAAAGCGCGCGUAGGUGGCUUCAUAAGUCCGUUGUGAAAGUCAAAGGCUCAACCUUUGAAAGCCGAUGGAUACUGUGAAGCUAGAGUACGGAAGAGGCGAGUGGAAUUCCUGGUGUAGCGGUGGAAUGCGCAGAUAUCAGGAGGAACACCAAUAGCGAAGGCAGCUCGCUGGGACGUUACUGACACUGAGGCGCGAAAGCGUGGGGAGCGAACAGG
RNAcentral lists this ribosomal RNA (253 nucleotides) under uncultured bacterium. Its description in RNAcentral is "partial 16S ribosomal RNA". It matches the Rfam family "Bacterial small subunit ribosomal RNA", at positions 524 to 776 of the family's 1533-position model. The record is from RNAcentral.